AAAGCAGGUCAUAGUGAUCCGGUGGUUCUGAAUGGAAGGGCCAUCGCUCAACGGAUAAAAGGUACUCCGGGGAUAACAGGCUGAUACCGCCCAAGAGUUCAUAUCGACGGCGGUGUUUGGCACCUCGAUGUCGGCUCAUCACAUCCUGGGGCUGAAGUAGGUCCCAAGGGUAUGGCUGUUCGCCAUUUAAAGUGGUACGCGAGCUGGGUUUAGAACGUCGUGAGACAGUUCGGUCCCUAUCUGCCGUGGGCGCUGGAGAACUGAGGGGGGCUGCUCCUAGUACGAGAGGACCGGAGUGGACGCAUCACUGGUGUUCGGGUUGUCAUGCCAAUGGCACUGCCCGGUAGCUAAAUGCGGAAGAGAUAAGUGCUGAAAGCAUCUAAGCACGAAACUUGCCCCGAGAUGAGUUCUCCCUGACCCUUUAAGGGUCCUGAAGGAACGUUGAAGACGACGACGUUGAUAGGCCGGGUGUGUAAGCGCAGCGAUGCGUUGAGCUAACCGGUACUAAUGAACCGUGAGGCUUAACCUU
This 529-nucleotide ribosomal RNA is filed under the name Escherichia coli. RNAcentral describes it as "partial 23S ribosomal RNA". It matches the Rfam family "Bacterial large subunit ribosomal RNA", at positions 2402 to 2925 of the family's 2925-position model. Lineage: Bacteria; Pseudomonadati; Pseudomonadota; Gammaproteobacteria; Enterobacterales; Enterobacteriaceae. RNAcentral also lists the same sequence under 1 other name. The record is from RNAcentral.